Long non-coding RNA from Helianthus annuus (common sunflower), 763 nucleotides. RefSeq lists it as uncharacterized. The transcript has 3 exons. NCBI's taxonomy places the organism in Eukaryota, Viridiplantae, Streptophyta, Magnoliopsida, Asterales, Asteraceae. The record is from RefSeq and is a predicted model, not a curated record.
CCCAACCCUAAUUCAUUCCCUAUAAAUACCAAGCCAUCUCCAAGCCAUUUUCACUUUUCUAAACACUCCCAACUCUCUCUAAUCACUCCCAAGCCAUUCUAAAUUCGAGCAAUAUCAGAUUUUCGGCCAGAUUCAGCAAGCUCCACUAAAGUGAGCAUAACUUCUUCAUUUCUCAUCCGUUUUAGCCCAUUCUUUUUCCAGAGCGCUUGGCUUGACCUUGGCUUCGAUUCUAGGGGUGUUUCACAGCAAACAAGUCCCUAGAACUCCGAAGGACUUGGUGUUCCAAACUCCUAAUCAAUCAACUCACUCGCGGGAUUAUCAAGUAGAAGACUUGCAAAACCAUGUCGUCUAGCUCCUCCAAGAGACGCAAGUCAAAGAAGGGUUCGACUUCCACCGCCAUGUCUCAAAAAGAUUGCAUGAAAUUUAUGGCCAAGCAAUUUGCUAAAGUCCUACCCGACAUCGUUAGCAAGAUUCAAACCGAUUCACCGCAUGGCUCUGUUGACUCAAAGGCAGACAAACCUAAACCGACCUUCCAGUUUAAGCAAUUCAUGGCUUGUAAACCCUUAGAAUUUACUGGCAAGAAUGGCGCUACCGCCAUGAUGAACUGGUUUGAUGCCAUCGAGCUUACCUUCUUGCAAAGUGGUUGCCCUGACGAACUAAGAACCUUGAAUGCAACUGGGGUGUUUCGUGAAAAGGCACUCGAGUGGUGGACGACUGAACGUAACAAAAGAGGAAACAAGGUCGCACAUGCUAUGCCUUGGGA